Molecule: ribosomal RNA, 495 nt
Filed under: uncultured bacterium
Lineage: Bacteria
Description: partial 16S ribosomal RNA
Rfam family: Bacterial small subunit ribosomal RNA (bases 21-334)
Source: RNAcentral
GAUGAACGCUGGCGGCGUGCCUAAUACAUGCAAGUAGAACGCUGAAGGAGGAGCUUGCUCUUCUGGAUGAGUUGCGAACGGGUGAGUAACGCGUAGGUAACCUGCCUGGUAGCGGGGGAUAACUAUUGGAAACGAUAGCUAAUACCGCAUGACAACAGUUAUUGCAUGAUAACUGUUUAAAAGGGGCAACUGCUCCACUACCAGAUGGACCUGCGUUGUAUUAGCUAGUUGGUGAGGUAACGGCUCACCAAGGCGACGAUACAUAGCCGACCUGAGAGGGGGAGCGGGGAGAAUGGAGGUGAGACAGGGAAAAGACUGGAGCGGGAAGCAGGAGAAGGGAGUGGUGGGAAAUGGGCGUAAGGAUGGAAGAGCAAAGGAGCAGGAGUGAAGAAGGUGUGGGGGGGGUAAAGCUCUGGUGUGAGGGAAGAAAGGGAGAAAGGGGGGAAAAGUGACGGGGUGAAGGGAGAGGAAUAGAAAGGGAAGGCUAACUACGUG